This 218-nucleotide unclassified non-coding RNA is filed under the name uncultured fungus. RNAcentral describes it as "sequence contains ITS1, 5.8S rRNA gene". The stretch from base 170 to 218 matches the Rfam family "5.8S ribosomal RNA", at positions 1 to 49 of the family's 154-position model. The record is from RNAcentral. Lineage: Eukaryota; Fungi.
UUUCCGUAGGUGAACCUGCGGAAGGAUCAUUACCGAGUUUUCGGGCUUCGGCUCGACUCUCCCACCCUUUGUGAACGUACCUCUGUUGCUUUGGCGACUUCGGCCGCCAAAGGACCUUCAAACUCCAGUCAGUAAACGCAGACGUCUGAUAAACAAGUUAAUAAACUAAAACUUUCAACAACGGAUCUCUUGGUUCUGGCAUCGAUGAAGAACGCAGC